RNAcentral lists this ribosomal RNA (943 nucleotides) under Microbacterium sp. CB 286369. RNAcentral describes it as "bacterial SSU rRNA". It matches the Rfam family "Bacterial small subunit ribosomal RNA", at positions 96 to 1052 of the family's 1533-position model. Lineage: Bacteria; Bacillati; Actinomycetota; Actinomycetes; Micrococcales; Microbacteriaceae. The record is from RNAcentral.
UGGCGAACGGGUGAGUAACACGUGAGCAACCUGCCCCUGACUCUGGGAUAAGCGCUGGAAACGGCGUCUAAUACUGGAUAUGUGACGUGACCGCAUGGUCUGCGUCUGGAAAGAAUUUCGGUUGGGGAUGGGCUCGCGGCCUAUCAGCUUGUUGGUGAGGUAAUGGCUCACCAAGGCGUCGACGGGUAGCCGGCCUGAGAGGGUGACCGGCCACACUGGGACUGAGACACGGCCCAGACUCCUACGGGAGGCAGCAGUGGGGAAUAUUGCACAAUGGGCGCAAGCCUGAUGCAGCAACGCCGCGUGAGGGACGACGGCCUUCGGGUUGUAAACCUCUUUUAGCAGGGAAGAAGCGAAAGUGACGGUACCUGCAGAAAAAGCGCCGGCUAACUACGUGCCAGCAGCCGCGGUAAUACGUAGGGCGCAAGCGUUAUCCGGAAUUAUUGGGCGUAAAGAGCUCGUAGGCGGUUUGUCGCGUCUGCUGUGAAAUCCGGAGGCUCAACCUCCGGCCUGCAGUGGGUACGGGCAGACUAGAGUGCGGUAGGGGAGAUUGGAAUUCCUGGUGUAGCGGUGGAAUGCGCAGAUAUCAGGAGGAACACCGAUGGCGAAGGCAGAUCUCUGGGCCGUAACUGACGCUGAGGAGCGAAAGGGUGGGGAGCAAACAGGCUUAGAUACCCUGGUAGUCCACCCCGUAAACGUUGGGAACUAGUUGUGGGGUCCAUUCCACGGAUUCCGUGACGCAGCUAACGCAUUAAGUUCCCCGCCUGGGGAGUACGGCCGCAAGGCUAAAACUCAAAGGAAUUGACGGGGACCCGCACAAGCGGCGGAGCAUGCGGAUUAAUUCGAUGCAACGCGAAGAACCUUACCAAGGCUUGACAUAUACGAGAACGGGCCAGAAAUGGUCAACUCUUUGGACACUCGUAAACAGGUGGUGCAUGGUUGU